GCCAUCAAUAGUAGCAUUCGCCUCGGAACUCGUUGCCAGUCAGCUUUAAUUGACUUCCCUAUCUACCACCUAUUAAGAAGGCCACCACCUUCCCUCACCACUUUUUCUCCAUAUUUAAAUAGAUCUCUCCCCUCUCCCACUCCCCUACAUCUCAUCCUCUUCCUUCUCCUUUCCUUGUUCUACCCUACAGAAACCCUGCUUCUAUCAUCAUGGAUUGUCACAUCAACUUACGUUAGCCUACCAAUCAUCCCAAUCACCAUCUUAACCUGAGCUCUUACAGGCAAGUCUUCUUUCCUUCUUUUCUUAUUCAUUUUCUUAUUCUUUGUCCCUUCUUUCUCAAUUUGAGGAAUGAUAGCAUAGAUCAUCCCUGUUUCAACAACAUCACCACCACAUCUUCAAGAGCCGAGGCCACACCUUGAUGAUGAGCCCUUUCUCACGAUCACCCCACCUUCACAUCCACUCAAAUAGGAGACAGCAAGGCCAUGGCCUGACCAUUGGCUUCCCCUCUCUAUCUCCCUCUUUCUAUUCUCCUUGGGUGAUCAAACUCCUUUGUCAAGCUCUAACUCCUCUCUCUCUCUUUUUCUCUUUCCCCUAUCUCUCUCUUGUCUCCUUCUUAAGUUUUUAUGAAACCUUGGGUGGGGCCCACCUACUUGUGGUUGCAUCAUAUAACACAAGAAUAAAGGGUCCUAACCCUACUUGGAUCAAGAGAUUGUAAGUAUCCCUAAGGGCUAGAUUUGGGCUCAACAUGUGUAUUUAGGUCUUAGCCACCAACUGUCAAAUCUGGAGUCACAACCCUUGAUCUAGUAGAAUUUUGGGUCUACGAGAC
Molecule: long non-coding RNA, 826 nt
Filed under: Elaeis guineensis (African oil palm)
Lineage: Eukaryota; Viridiplantae; Streptophyta; Magnoliopsida; Arecales; Arecaceae
Description: long non-coding RNA (EGUI_LNC060475)
Source: RNAcentral